UACGUAGGGGGCAAGCGUUGUCCGGAUUUAUUGGGCGUAAAGAGCGUGUAGGCGGUCAGGUAGGUCCGUUGUGAAAACUCGAGGCUCAACCUCGAGACGCCGAUGGAAACCAUCUGACUAGAGUCCGGAAGAGGAGAGUGGAAUUCCUGGUGUAGCGGUGAAAUGCGCAGAUAUCAGGAAGAACACCCGUGGCUAAGGCGGCUCUCUAGUACGGUACUGACGCUGAGACGCGAAAGCGUGGGGAGCGAACAGG
RNAcentral lists this ribosomal RNA (253 nucleotides) under uncultured bacterium. RNAcentral describes it as "partial 16S ribosomal RNA". It matches the Rfam family "Bacterial small subunit ribosomal RNA", at positions 524 to 776 of the family's 1533-position model. RNAcentral also lists the same sequence under 3 other names. The record is from RNAcentral.